This 253-nucleotide ribosomal RNA is filed under the name uncultured bacterium. RNAcentral's name for it is "partial 16S ribosomal RNA". It matches the Rfam family "Bacterial small subunit ribosomal RNA", at positions 524 to 776 of the family's 1533-position model. The record is from RNAcentral.
UACGUAGGGUGCGAGCGUUAAUCGGAAUUACUGGGCGUAAAGAGUGCGUAGGCGGCGUCGCAAGUCGGGCGUGAAAGCCCCGGGCUUAACUUGGGAAUUGCGCUCGAAACUACGAUGCUGGAGUGUGGCAGAGGAAGGUGGAAUUCCACGUGUAGCGGUGAAAUGCGUAGAGAUGUGGAGGAACACCAAUGGCGAAGGCAGCCUUCUGGGCCAACACUGACGCUCAUGCACGAAAGCGUGGGGAGCAAACAGG